This 274-nucleotide ribosomal RNA is filed under the name uncultured bacterium. Its description in RNAcentral is "partial 16S ribosomal RNA". It matches the Rfam family "Bacterial small subunit ribosomal RNA", at positions 523 to 796 of the family's 1533-position model. The record is from RNAcentral.
AGACGGAGGGUCCUAGCGUUGUUCGGAAUGACUGGGCGUAAAGGGUACGUAGGCGGUUUGGUCAGUUAGAUGUGAAAGCCCAGGGCUCAACCUUGGAACUGCAUUUAAUACUGCCAAACUUGAGAUCGGAAGAGGAAAGCGGAAUUUCUAGUGUAGAGGUGAAAUUCGUAGAUAUUAGAAGGAACAUCAGAGGCGAAGGCGGCUUUCUGGUCCGAUACUGACGCUGAGGUACGAAAGCGUGGGGAGCAAACAGGAUUAGAAACCCUAGUAGUCC